GCAGAGAGAGCUUGUCGAGUAAUGGGGCAUGUUGUAUUUCCUCUUUGUAGCCAUUCUUGAAUUGCUUUUCUUUCGUAAGUCUGACCAGUUUCAAGAGUUACUGGGUCAUUAAAAAGCUGGCCUGUGAUAGGGCAAACAAAAUCUUUUGGUGGUCUUGAACGAUAAGUCAACUUAUCAGACAUUGGGAGCGAAAUGUAACUCUGGCUUCCUUCAUCACUUUCAUUAACAAAACUAUUAUCUAAUGCUUGGCUGUUUACAUUGUCAUAACUGAUACUCCGUGCUCGAUUGUGAUUUUUCCUGACACUUUUCU
RNAcentral lists this unclassified non-coding RNA (310 nucleotides) under Hevea brasiliensis (rubber tree). The record is from RNAcentral. Lineage: Eukaryota; Viridiplantae; Streptophyta; Magnoliopsida; Malpighiales; Euphorbiaceae.